AUUGAACGCUGGCGGCAGGCCUAACACAUGCAAGUCGAGCGGUAGAGAGGUGCUUGCAUCUCUUGAGAGCGGCGGACGGGUGAGUAAUGCCUAGGAAUCUGCCUAGUGUGGGGGAUAACGUUCGGAAACGGACGCUAAUACCGCACACGUCCUACGGGAGAAAGCGGGGGAUCUUCGGACCUCGCGCCAUUAGAUGAGCCUAGGUCGGAUUAGCUAGUUGGUGAGGUAAUGGCUCACCAAGGCGACGAUCCGUAACUGGUCUGAGAGGAUGAUCAGUCACACUGGAACUGAGACACGGUCCAGACUCCUACGGGAGGCAGCAGUGGGGAAUAUUGGACAAUGGGCGAAGACCUGAUCCAGCCAUGCCGCGUGUGUGAAGAAGGUCUUCGGAGUUGUUAAA
This 400-nucleotide ribosomal RNA is filed under the name uncultured bacterium. RNAcentral describes it as "bacterial SSU rRNA". It matches the Rfam family "Bacterial small subunit ribosomal RNA", at positions 30 to 430 of the family's 1533-position model. The record is from RNAcentral.